AUUGAACGCUGGCGGCAUGCCUUACACAUGCAAGUCGAACGGUAACGGGCCUUCGGGUGCCGACGAGUGGCGAACGGGUGAGUAAUGCAUCGGAACGUACCUUUCAGUGGGGGAUAACGUAGCGAAAGUUACGCUAAUACCGCAUAUUCUGUGAGCAGGAAAGCAGGGGAUCGCAAGACCUUGCGCUGAUUGAGCGGCCGAUGUCAGAUUAGCUAGUUGGUGAGGUAAAAGGCUCACCAAGGCGACGAUCUGUAGCGGGUCUGAGAGGAUGAUCCGCCACACUGGAACUGAGACACGGUCCAGACUCCUACGGGAGGCAGCAGUGGGGAAUUUUGGACAAUGGGGGGCAACCCUGAUCCAGCCAUGCCGCGUGAGUGAAGAAGGCCUGGUGUAAG
Molecule: ribosomal RNA, 395 nt
Filed under: uncultured bacterium
Lineage: Bacteria
Description: bacterial SSU rRNA
Rfam family: Bacterial small subunit ribosomal RNA
Source: RNAcentral